Molecule: ribosomal RNA, 497 nt
Filed under: uncultured bacterium
Lineage: Bacteria
Description: bacterial SSU rRNA
Rfam family: Bacterial small subunit ribosomal RNA
Source: RNAcentral
ACUCAAAGGAAUUGACGGGGCCCCGCACAAGCAGUGGAGUAUGUGGUUUAAUUCGAAGCAACGCGAAGAACCUUACCAGGUCUUGACAUCUAACUAAUCCUCUAGAGAUAGAGGAGUGCCCUUCGGGGAAAGUUAAGACAGGUGGUGCAUGGUUGUCGUCAGCUCGUGUCGUGAGAUGUUGGGUUAAGUCCCGCAACGAGCGCAACCCCUACUAUUAGUUGCUACCUUUAUGGAGCACUCUAAUGGGACUGCCGUUGACAAAACGGAGGAAGGUGGGGAUGACGUCAAAUCAUCAUGCCCCUUAUGACCUGGGCUACACACGUACUACAAUGGCUAUUAACAGAGGGAAGCUAAGCCGCGAGGUGGAGCAAAUCCCCAAAAAUAGUCUCAGUUCGGAUUGCAGGCUGAAACCCGCCUGCAUGAAGCUGGAAUUGCUAGUAAUCGCGAAUCAGAAUGUCGCGGUGAAUACGUUCCCGGGGCUUGUACACACCGCCCGU